RNAcentral lists this unclassified non-coding RNA (141 nucleotides) under soil metagenome. RNAcentral describes it as "partial internal transcribed spacer 1". The record is from RNAcentral.
UAAUAAGUGUUUUAUGGCACUUUUUAAAUCCAUAUCCACCUUGUGUGCAAUGUCAGUCGAUCUUCUUAUUGGAGAUCGACCAAACAUCAACCUUUAUUUUUAACUCUUGUCUGAAAAUAUUAUGAAUAAACAAUUCAAAUA